RNAcentral lists this ribosomal RNA (256 nucleotides) under uncultured bacterium. RNAcentral's name for it is "partial 16S ribosomal RNA". It matches the Rfam family "Bacterial small subunit ribosomal RNA", at positions 524 to 776 of the family's 1533-position model. The record is from RNAcentral.
GACGUAGGGGGCAAGCGUUGUCCGGAAUUAUUGGGCGUAAAGCGCUCGUAGGCGGAUCGGUAAGUCUGUGAAGAAAGACCCGGGCUCAACUCGGGGAACGGCAUAGAUACUGCUGAUCUUGAGACAGUCAGAGGAUGAUGGAAUUCCAGGUGUAGCGGUGAAAUGCGUAGAUAUCGGGAAGAACACCUAUGGCGAAGGCAGCUCUCUGGGACGGUACUGGACGGCUGAAGACGCGAAAGCGUGGGGAGCGAACAGG